AUGCGAUUGAUUUUCAUUGGACAGAUCAGGUAUAGGAAUGAUGCUCCACUUGUGCUACAUGGAAUCACUUGCAAGUUUGCAGGCGGAGAUAAGAUUGGUAUAGUCGGUCGAACAGGAUGUGGCAAGACAACGUUAAUUGGCGCAUUGUUUCGUCUUGUUGAACCUGCCGAAGGGAAAAUAGUUAUAGACUCUGUGGACAUCAGUACAAUAGGCUUGCAUGACUUGCGUUCACGUUUGGGUAUCAUUCCACAAGAUCCCACACUUUUUAAGGGUACAGUAAGAUACAAUCUAGAUCCUCUUGGGCAAUUUUCAGAUCAGCAAAUAUGGGAGGUUCUUGAUAAAUGUCAACUUCUUGAAGUUGUCCAGGAGAAGGAACAGGGAUUGGAUUCAUAUGUUUUGGAAGACGGGUCGAACUGGAGCAUGGGCCAAAGGCAGCUCUUCUGUCUGGGACGCGCGCUUUUGAGAAGAUGUCGCAUCUUAGUUCUUGAUGAAGCUACGGCCUCUAUAGACAAUGCAACAGAUGUUGUUCUUCAGAAAACGAUCCGGACAGAAUUCAAAUAUUGCACUGUUAUUACAGUGGCCCACCGUAUACCAACAGUUAUGGACUGCGAUAUGGUACUUGCAAUGAGCGACGGGAAAGUAGUGGAGUUUGACAAACCUACAAAGCUCAUGGAAACUGAAGGAUCUCUCUUUCGUGAGCUGGUCAAGGAGUAUUGGUCCACAUCGAACGGAACUGUUUAG
This 741-nucleotide ribosomal RNA is filed under the name Triticum aestivum (bread wheat). Its description in RNAcentral is "partial small subunit ribosomal RNA". Lineage: Eukaryota; Viridiplantae; Streptophyta; Magnoliopsida; Poales; Poaceae. The record is from RNAcentral.